GUUUACCAUGUUGGUGGCUUCUAGCACUGUGUGAUGCUGCACAUUGCACUGUUUCACUAGUUAUGGCUUUGUCAGGUGAAAAAAAAACCUACGGUGUAGGGCAGGGUAGACAAAGACAGAAACACUGAUGUUUUAAAACUACACCUUCCAUGAUACAUUGCCAGGCUUAAGUCUUUCUCUUUGUUUCUAGAUAUGUAAUUUACUUUUUACAACAAUAAAAAAUGAUCUAAAUAUGAGAAGUGGUGAUGUUUUGUUCGGUU
Pelobates cultripes (western spadefoot toad) is the source of this 260-nucleotide non-coding RNA. The record is from the annotation of a GenBank genome assembly. Lineage: Eukaryota; Metazoa; Chordata; Amphibia; Anura; Pelobatidae.